Molecule: ribosomal RNA, 437 nt
Filed under: Capnocytophaga sp. oral taxon 329
Lineage: Bacteria; Pseudomonadati; Bacteroidota; Flavobacteriia; Flavobacteriales; Flavobacteriaceae
Description: bacterial SSU rRNA
Rfam family: Bacterial small subunit ribosomal RNA
Source: RNAcentral
GAUGAACGCUAGCGGCAGGCCUAACACAUGCAAGUCGAGGGAGGAGCCUUCGGGCUUCGACCGGCGUACGGGUGCGUAACGCGUAUACAAUCUGCCUUUCACAUAGGGAUAGCCCGAAGAAAUUUGGAUUAAUACCUAAUGGUAUAUAGGUGUGGCCUCACAUUUAUAUUAAAGCUGAGGCGGUGAAAGAUGAGUAUGCGUUCUAUUAGCUAGUUGGAGAGGUAACGGCUCCCCAAGGCGACGAUAGAUAGGGGUUCUGAGAGGGAUAUCCCCCACACUGGUACUGAGAUACGGACCAGACUCCUACGGGAGGCAGCAGUGAGGAAUAUUGGACAAUGGUCGGAAGACUGAUCCAGCCAUGCCGCGUGCAGGAAGACGGCCUUAUGGGUUGUAAACUGCUUUUGCAGGGGAAGAAUAAGGAGUACGUGUACUUGAGA